GUUGUAUGGUUAAGUGACUAAGCGUACACGGUGGAUGCCUUGGCAGUUGGAG
Molecule: ribosomal RNA, 52 nt
Filed under: Pseudoalteromonas sp. SG44-1
Lineage: Bacteria; Pseudomonadati; Pseudomonadota; Gammaproteobacteria; Alteromonadales; Pseudoalteromonadaceae
Also listed under: 1 other name
Description: partial 23S ribosomal RNA
Source: RNAcentral